This 92-nucleotide transfer RNA is filed under the name Auriscalpium vulgare. Its description in RNAcentral is "tRNA-Glu". It matches the Rfam family "tRNA". From Rfam's summary of the family: Transfer RNA (tRNA) molecules are approximately 80 nucleotides in length. Their secondary structure includes four short double-helical elements and three loops (D, anti-codon, and T loops). The record is from RNAcentral. Lineage: Eukaryota; Fungi; Basidiomycota; Agaricomycetes; Russulales; Auriscalpiaceae.
UCCGGUAUGGUGUAACGGCUAACAUUGCCGCCUUUCAACUUGCAUGCAAGCGGAGUGCGCGGCAGCUCGGGGUUCGAUUCCCCGUACCGGAA